Molecule: ribosomal RNA, 270 nt
Filed under: uncultured Oscillospiraceae bacterium
Lineage: Bacteria; Bacillati; Bacillota; Clostridia; Eubacteriales; Oscillospiraceae
Description: partial 16S ribosomal RNA
Rfam family: Bacterial small subunit ribosomal RNA
Source: RNAcentral
AUUCUUUUAGAUUCGAAGCGGUUAGUGGCGGACUGGUGAGUAACACGUAAGGAACCUGCCUUUUAGAGGGGAACAACAGUGAGAAAUCAUUGCUAAUACCACAUAUGCCAUAAAUAUCACAUGAUAAAAGUGGGAAAGGAGUAAUCCGCUGAUAGAUGGGCUCGCGUCUGAUUAGAUAGUUGGUGGGGUAACGGCCUACCAAGUCGACGAUCAGUAGCCGGACUGAGAGGUUGAACGGCCACAUUGGGACUGAGAUACGGCCCAGACUCC